GUUUCUUCUUUUUUCUUUUUUCUUUUCCUCUUUUCCUCUUUCCUCUUUCCUCUUUUCUCUUUCGUUUUUGGUGUGGU
RNAcentral lists this non-coding RNA (77 nucleotides) under Palpitomonas bilix. The record is from RNAcentral.